GAUGAAGAAGGUAGCGAAAUGCGAUAAGUAAUGUGAAUUGCAGAAUUCAGUGAAUCAUCGAAUCUUUGAACGCACAUUGCGCCCGCCAGUAUUCUGGCGGGCAUGCCUGUCUGAGCGUCAUUUCAACCCUCAUGCCCCUAGGGCGUGGUGUUGGGGAUCGGCCAAAGCCCGCAAGGGACGGCCGGCCCCUAAAUCUAGUGGCGGACCCGUCGUGGCCUCCCCUGCGAAGUAGUGAUAUUCCGCAUAGGAGAAGCGACGAGCCCCUGCCGUUAAACCCCCAACUUUCUCAGGUUGACCUCAGAUCAGGUAGGAAUACCCGCUGAACUUAAGCAUAUCAAUAAGCGGAGGA
This 349-nucleotide unclassified non-coding RNA is filed under the name soil metagenome. RNAcentral describes it as "partial contains 5.8S ribosomal RNA, internal transcribed spacer 2, and large subunit ribosomal RNA". The stretch from base 1 to 120 matches the Rfam family "5.8S ribosomal RNA", at positions 35 to 154 of the family's 154-position model. The record is from RNAcentral.